AGUGGCGCACGGGUGCGUAACACGUAUGUAACCUACCCAUAUCAGGGGGAUAGCCUCUCGAAAGAGAGAUUAAGCCCGCAUAAAAUCACACUAUGGCAUCAUAGAAUGAUCAAAUAUUUAUAGGAUAUGGAUGGGCAUGCGGAACAUUAGCUAGUUGGUAAGGUAACGGCUUACCAAGGCUACGAUGUUUAGGGGAUCUGAGAGGAUGACCCCCCACACUGGUACUGAGACACGGACCAGACUCCUACGGGAGGCAGCAGUAAGGAAUAUUGGUCAAUGGACGGAAGUCUGAACCAGCCAUGCCGCGUGCAGGAAGACGGCCCUACGGGUUGUAAACUGCUUUUGUACCGGAAUAAACCUUCCUACGUGUAGGGAGCUGAAUGUACGGUAAGAAUAAGGAUCGGCUAACUCCGUGCCAGCAGCCGCGGUAAUACGGAGGAUCCGAGCGUUAUCCGGAUCUAUUGGGUUUAAAGGGUGCGUAGGCGGCCUAUUAAGUCAGGGGUGAAAGACGGUAGCUUAACUAUCGCAGUGCCUUUGA
This 538-nucleotide ribosomal RNA is filed under the name uncultured bacterium. RNAcentral describes it as "bacterial SSU rRNA". It matches the Rfam family "Bacterial small subunit ribosomal RNA", at positions 94 to 630 of the family's 1533-position model. The record is from RNAcentral.